AUUGAACGCUGGCGGCAGGCCUAACACAUGCAAGUCGAACGAGUGGCGGACGGGUGAGUAAUGUCUGGGAACCUGCCCGAUGGAGGGGGAUAACUACUGGAAACGGUAGCUAAUACCGCAUACCAUCAGAUGUGCCCAUAUGGGAUUAGCUGGUAGGUGGGGUAACGGCUCACCUAGGCGACGAUCCCUAGCUGGUCUGAGAGGAUGACCAGCCAAACUGGGACUGAGACACGGUCCAGACUCCUACGGGAGGCAGCAGUGGGGAAUAUUGCACAAUGGGCGCAAGACUGAUGCAGCCAUGCCGCGUGUAUGAAGAAGGCCUUCGGGUUGUAAAGUACUUUCAGCGGGGAGGCGUUACCGGCAGAAGAAGCACCGGCUAACUCCGUGCCAGCAGCCGCGGUAAUUC
This 406-nucleotide ribosomal RNA is filed under the name uncultured bacterium. Its description in RNAcentral is "partial 16S ribosomal RNA". It matches the Rfam family "Bacterial small subunit ribosomal RNA", at positions 30 to 526 of the family's 1533-position model. The record is from RNAcentral.